AUUUAAAGGGCCAGGCACAUAAAAUAUUUCUUACUGCAGGAAUUUGUCCCUAUGUGGCUCCGCUUAACUAUGCAGAGGUUGUAACUUACCUGUAGAUCAGUGAGACUCUGCAUGGAAAAUGUUCAUGGAUGAAGAAAUAAGUACAGGCUAUGAACUUUGUGCAUGGUAUUGGUCCCCGCACCUUUCAUUCAUCAGGAAAGGUCUAAAAUCCCCUAGCAUGAGGAUGUAGCAGAGCCCAGGAUGAGUGCUCCCUCAGACAGAGCUGCUGCAGCAGGAGCACUGAGUGUUCACAGCAAGUAAGCCACCAUUGCAUCCAAUCCCAGCAAGCAUGGCAGUUGUGGGUGGGUUUUCUUCCU
RNAcentral lists this long non-coding RNA (356 nucleotides) under Rattus norvegicus (Norway rat). RNAcentral's name for it is "long non-coding RNA NONRATT033235". The record is from RNAcentral. Lineage: Eukaryota; Metazoa; Chordata; Mammalia; Rodentia; Muridae.